Molecule: long non-coding RNA, 818 nt
Filed under: Medicago truncatula (barrel medic)
Lineage: Eukaryota; Viridiplantae; Streptophyta; Magnoliopsida; Fabales; Fabaceae
Description: lncRNA gene30162
Source: RNAcentral
CUUUGUUUAGAUUGUAUAAUCGUUACUUUUUUUUUAUAUUAUAAAUUCCAAACAGAGUAAAAAACUGAAGCCCAUCAUGUCCAGACUUAUGGUUGCCUAGAAUUGUUUGAAAAAAUUAUUUGGAAUAUAUAACCCCGACUUUUCCCUAAUUUGGAAAGCGUUGUGAAGAGUUGAAGAAAACUAUGUUGGGUGUGGAAGAAGAAUCAGAGGGAGAGGAAGGCUCUGACAAAGAUGUCCAGUGUAGAUUUUGAAGAAGCUGGUCAUCUUAAAAUCCAUCUUGAGCGAGGUCAAGAGAUGGAAUUGUGCAUUAUGCUCCUAGAAUGUUGCAGCCAAGAAAGAACUUACCUCCUGUAUCUUCUUGGGUAGCGUUUUUGUAUGAUCAACAAAGUGCAUCAAGAAAAUUUUGAGAAGUGUUUUGUGCAGCAGUAUUCUAUGAUCCACAGGUUUGAACUUUGAAACAAAUAAGUUGCGAUUAAAAACAUCUCAUGGUAAUGGUCAAUAAUUAAAAAAAAAAAAAAAAAAAAAAGAGAUCUCUAUGCUUCUUCUAUUAGCGGUUUCAUCAGAGGGUUUUUAUAUUUGUGUUGAUUUUGGUGGGUUUGAUACCACUUAUACUCUUUCUCAUAUUUAGAUUAGAUAUAGUAUACUUUUUUUUUUUUUUUUGAGGGAUAGAUAUAGUAUACCUAUACUCUCGAAUUAUUACUAAAAGGUUAAUUAAGUUUUUGGUUCCUAUAAAUAUCUGCAGUUUUGUUUUUAGUCCUUAUAAAAAUAAAUCACACUUUUUAGUCCCUACAAAAUUUUCUGUUAGUGUUUUUAGUCCC